GUCCCUUAAAGCCAAGUUAACUCAUAAAAUGUGUCCGUCAUAAUAACGUUACAGGCUAUGCUAAGCUUUGGUCUAAAAUUGUAUGUAACCAUGAAUAACGUGUUUUGGAAACUAACUGCACAACAGGCAGCACUAUUAGUUCUCUCAGUCUCAGAGUAGCAUUUCUAAUUUUGAUUGAAACUGUCAGAGAAAAACGGCAGCCUCGAGCAAGCCAGGAUAUUAGUUUACAGAGGCUGUUAAAAUUAUAUAUCUAACGUUAAAAUGUUGGUGACACAAUAAUUUCAUCCUAAUGGUACUGACAUAUUCAUAGGGUUAAUUUUUGAGACAAAAUAUCAUGAGGUAGUCAUGAUUUUGCAAAUAUUCCACCUUGUAGUGCAGUUUGCACAAAUUGUUUUAAAAAUGCACUCACCCUACAAACAUUACUGAUGAGUCAAGAUCUGCACAAACUGACAGAAACACUGAAGCAGCUACCCGUUUUAUUCUUAUUGUCAUGUAUGUCCUAUUUGUCAGGCGACAGAAGAACCAACACAAAGCUCAGAGGUGAUACAAGAUCACAGGUGACAGAGGCAGCUCUGCCAUGUUGUAGCUCGGACAGAGGUGAAGAGGCAAGGUCACAGGUG
Molecule: long non-coding RNA, 620 nt
Organism: Oreochromis aureus
Lineage: Eukaryota; Metazoa; Chordata; Actinopteri; Cichliformes; Cichlidae
Source: Ensembl